This 269-nucleotide ribosomal RNA is filed under the name uncultured prokaryote. Its description in RNAcentral is "partial 16S ribosomal RNA". It matches the Rfam family "Bacterial small subunit ribosomal RNA", at positions 524 to 792 of the family's 1533-position model. The record is from RNAcentral.
UACGUAGGGGCUAGCGUUGUCCGGAAUUACUGGGCGUAAAGAGCUCGUAGGUGGUUUGUCGCGUCGUCUGUGAAAUUCCGGGGCUUAACUCCGGGCGUGCAGGCGAUACGGGCAUAACUUGAGUACUGUAGGGGAGACUGGAAUUCCUGGUGUAGCGGUGAAAUGCGCAGAUAUCAGGAGGAACACCGAUGGCGAAGGCAGGUCUCUGGGCAGUAACUGACGCUGAGGAGCGAAAGCAUGGGGAGCGAACAGGAUUAGAUACCCCGGUA